CUUAUUGCCUCUUUUGGAUUCCACUACCACCUGUACGCUGAUGACACUCAGAUACACCUCUCCUCCCCAGACCUUUCCUCUGCCGUCCUGCAACGUGUCACUGCUUGCCUUUCUUCCAUCUCUGACUGGAUGUCCUCACGCUUUCUGAAACUUAACCUCUCUAAAACUGAACUCCUUGUUUUUCCUCCUCCUAAUACUGAUCCUCCUCUCUCGCUCACCCUUGUAGUCAGUGAUAUCCACAUAAGUCUAUCCCUGCAAGCACGCUGUCUUGGCGUCAUACUUGACUCUGGUCUCACCUUUGAG
This is a non-coding RNA of Pelobates cultripes (western spadefoot toad), 303 nucleotides long. The record is from the annotation of a GenBank genome assembly. Lineage: Eukaryota; Metazoa; Chordata; Amphibia; Anura; Pelobatidae.